GGCGGAAAGCGCGCGCAGGCGGGACCAGCAAGUCGGAAGUGAAAUCCCGGGGCUCAACCCCGGAGCUGCCCUCGAAACUAGGUAGCUAGAAUCUUGGAGAGGUCAGUGGAAUUCCGAGUGUAGAGGUGAAAUUCGUAGAUAGUCGGAAGAACACCAGUGGCGAAGGCGACUGACUGGACAAGUAUUGACGCUGAGGUGCGAAAGCGUGGGGAGCAAACAG
Molecule: ribosomal RNA, 220 nt
Filed under: uncultured bacterium
Lineage: Bacteria
Description: partial 16S ribosomal RNA
Rfam family: Bacterial small subunit ribosomal RNA
Source: RNAcentral